AGCACCCAGAGGGAUGCAAGGACCUGAAAAGCCAAAAUGUCAUACUUUGCCCUUCUAUUGAUUACCAAAGCCACCGAAACUUCAUUGCACAGUUGGUACUGACUGAACACCCUUAUAAAUAACAAUGCAACAUCAAGCCACAGUGUGUCUGACUCUGGAGUAGCACGUUUCUAACCACGUCAGUAAGCGAAGUUCAAAGUAUAAACAGAAAUGAUUCUUUCAGUACAUGUGAAAUGAUUUGCUGGCAUUCUUUGUUCCCUGUGGACAUCAGUCCAAGUACAAAGACCACUUCAGACUGGCAAUCUCUCUAAAUCCCUGUUUGGAAUCAAAGUGAUGAAAGGACAAGGCAUUUUUGACAAGGCCUGAUCUACAUGCAGAAGCUAAGCAUCAUAGUUCUGUGUUCACUUCCCACAACAGCAUCAGACAUUUUCAGCAGGGCUCAAAGCUUUGUUAAAAGAGUCUGCAGAAGAUCCUUGAAAUGCUGCAUGACCUGCUGAGUGUUCCCGGGAUUUUCAGUUUUAAUUCAAGAUGAAAGUUGACUGACUUUAGCUGCUAAUGGAAUCAAGGUCAACAGAGUUUGAGCAGGAAAGUAAAACCAAAGUAAAUAAUCAGCCAUGAUUUUGUUAAAGUAUCCCCACCCCAAUGAUACUUCUUUUGAACACCUGAUCAAUGCACUUCCCUGUCCCCUUUCUAAUGGCCACUUCCCUUCUACUUGACACUCGUUUGUCAUCCUCAGUUCUGAGAUAUAUACAUGAGGCUGAGAGGCACUAAAGUGCUAUGACUUCUUGGAGAAUCAAGGAAUUCAUAGAUUUAUAUAAGUUAGGAGGCUAAGUAAACUCAGAUUUAUUUGCAGUUAAUGUAGUACAUUGAGAAUGACAUUAGCGGGCUCCCAUGAUCAGGAACCAAAUAAAUGAUAGGGCCAUCUGUUCCUCUUGAUGUACAGCAUGUUUGUUGAGCGAUAGCACUGGCUAUUGUGAAUAAAGUUCUGAGGUCUUUUACAUCCAGUUCUACAUUUCGACAGCCUGUCAGUGCUUAACCAAACUUAUGGAUAUUUGACUGAGCUGUCUACAUAGUUGCUGUAUUACUGUCCUUCUCCCUCACCCCUUAUCCCAACUACAGAUGAUUGCAAUGCAAUGCAUUUCUUACCAUCUGUAAAAACUUUACUGAAGUCCAAAUUUAUGCAAGAAAGUAUGCUGAUCGGGACAGGUGUUUCUGAACUGGGAGCAAAUAUUAACCUUUAAUUCAAUUUCCUCUGUUCAAAAGACUAUCAUUUCAAAACUGUUGUCUGCCGUCUGUAUUUUGUAAUCGUUCCUUUACCCACAUUUAUGGAAAGGUUCCAACAUUUGCACAAUGGAAAGCUCAAUGUUAAUGAGCAAAGAUUGUGGGAAAGUAUAUGGUGAGCUGCCCUGCUGACCUGCAUGUUAACGCUACAUUAAGCGCAUUCUUUCAUAUCAGUGAAGCAGUCUCUGACAUGAUAGUAAACAAAACAGACGUGGGGUCAGGUUAAAAAUGACACAUUUUGAUUCAAGUGCAGGUGUAGCCACUCAACAAAGGCGAACUUCAAAACCCAUCUGAGACUUUCAAUAGUUUUGAUCAGAUCCUUUAUAAAACUAUUGGUAUCUAACAUGAUUGAUUAAAUGUCAAGGAGUUUUAGAAAACACUUCUUCCCAUUUCUGGAUCAAAGGUGAACCCUUGAUAACAAAUUGAAAAAUGGUGUCCUUAUUUUUGCCAUGUCAUUUUGAAGGAUAAACCUUCAUUAUCAUUACAUUAGCAAAGUUGCAAAGCAGAUGUUCCCUAACUGCCCCAAACUAAAUGACUACUACCAAUGACAAUUGGGAUGACACCUAGCACUGUAGCACCUUUAGGCUAGGGAGUGGGUUAAAUCAGCUCUUGAGCACUAUCCAAUAACCCUGCUGCCUACAAUGUAUGGGUAUAGAUUUCAUCGUAUUGGGUUCAGAGUAAAUCCAAGACCUUUGACUGCUAACUCAAUGGCUGGCAGUUAUUCCAGAGCAAAUUGACUAGAUUAUCUAAGAUUUAAGCAAUGUAGGUGUCAAUGGCAAAAUCAACCUCUAACCAACUUUAAGGUCAUGAUGAGCCUCCUUCCUUAACUAUUGAAUUUCUUCUGAUGAAGGUUUAUCCAUACAGCAAUGAAUAAUGAAUUCCAGGAAAGUGACAAAGUGACAACUAAGCUAUGGUGAUAUGUAUCCAGUUUAUUAAAGUGUGUUGCUGGGUAAUGAUCUGGCAUGUGACUUUAGUCUUAUUUCAUGGAAUUCCUCCAUCAGGGUGAAUUCCCAAUAAUAUAACAAAUAAAGGCACUAGCAGAAGCUACUGACGUCAGAUUUAUUUUUCAUUCUACAUUAAGUUAUACUAACUUAGCUUCAGCAGGUUAGGAAGGAGUAGAAUAUAAAAUUCUGUUUUUUCCCUGGUUCUUCACUGGCUUCAGCUGGAAAGCUAUCAAAUAAGUAACCUUUCCAGUUUAAUUGCAUCAUGGUUGACAAUAUCCAUUUUGGCUCCCACAAAACCCUUCCAAAAUCAGAGCAAGAUACUAUAUUUCUCUUUGUCAGAUUGCUAAACUAUGAUUGUUAACAAGUUGGGGCAGUGGGGAGAUGAUGUGUUGGGGAGUAAUGCAUAAACUAUAUGAGUGGACAGGGAUAACUAAUUGUGCUGGCUGGUGGUGUAGUGGAAUCAGACUUCAAGGCGAAUGGUCCCGAGUUCAAAUCCAGCCAGCUCCUUGCAUGUUUUCCGUCUGUGCUGGGUUGAGUGUCAAGCUAGCAACUCGGCCUCGUAAAGUCAAAAUGCUACAGAUACGACAAAAGUGUUGCCUGAUGCGGCAAAAGGAACAACAAUGGAUAACAGCAUCCCUGGCCAUCUUCUUUCAGGAUAGGUGUGAAGAAGUGUGUUGAUAUUCCAUAACCCAUCUAUAACCCAUCUCUAUAUUAUAUUAAAUGUCCUCCAAUGAACAAUUGUAGAACCACAGAUGUAUCCAAUACACCAGAGUGUCCAUGGUCAUCCAGAAAAAUCCUCCCGCCGAUAUCCUUAUGUAUUGACUUGCAUCAUUCUGCUGUUGACUCACGUCCUGACGAAGCAUCUCAGCCUGAAGCGUCAAAUGUACCUCUUCCUAGAGAUGCUGCCUGGCCUGCUGUGUUCACCAGCAACUUUUAUUCCAGCAUCUGCAGAUUUUCUUGUGUUGACCCACAUUAACUCCUGUCUUGAUAAUGUUUUGAUUUAAAAGUUUUCAAAUCCUGUCGCCUGACUCAUACAAAAUCAGUACCCUUCUCCAGGCCUACAAUCCUCUAUUCUCAUAGAAAUUAUAAAAUCGCAAACAGCUAAAAAGGCCCUUUGGCCACCCAAGUUUAUGAUAACCAUUAAGCAUCCACUUACACUAUUCCUAUUUUGUUCUCCCCAUAUUCAUUUGUUUAUUUAUUGAGAUCCAGUGCGGAUUUGGGCCUUCUGGCCCUUUGAGCCAAACUGCCCAGCAAUCCUCCAAUUUAUCCUAGCCUAAUCUCAGGACCAUUUACAAUGGCGAAUUAACUUACCAACCAGUACAUCUUUGGACUGUGGGAGGAAACCAGAGCACCCAGCAGAAACCCUGGUAGUCACAGGGAGAAGGUACAAACUUCUUACAGACAGUGGCGGGAAAUGAACCUGGGUCACCAUUACUGUAAAGCAUUGUGUUAAACACUGCAUUACUGUGCCACAUCAAUGUUCCCAUCGUCGUUCCUGGAUUCUAUCAUAAACAUAGUGGUAAAUUACAUUGGUCUAUUAACAUACCAAGUCACAGGUCUUUGAGAUGUGUAAGGAACCUUGAGCAUGCAGAAGAAUCUGCCCAGUCACAGAGAGAAUGUGCAAACUCCACACAAACAAUAAAAAAGGUCAGGAUUGAAUCCAGGUCACAGAAGCUCAGUUAGCUGUACUGCUGUAUCCUUGGAAUCAAACAAUGUUAUAGAAGUUAACUUGAUGUUUACUGGUGAUGGAGCGAUAACAGAGUCAGAAAAUCAGCUUGUGAGCAAUCAAAGUCCAAUCUGCUUCAAUGAGAGGAGGAUGUGAAUCUUAAAAAGGCAGAGAAUUUUGUUGAGGCCUUGGUAUAAUCUUUGCAGCAAAGGUGAUGACCUGUAAGUUAUUUUUGGCUUGAAGCUAUCUGAUAGAAGGUCACUGGACUUGGAAAGCCUUGCCAAGUGUUCCAAUACUACUAGAUUUUCAUUCUACAAGGUCUCUGAAGUGAAAGCAGUGUGACAAAGGAAUUUUCCCAAGAGUGUGCACAGUUACAUGAUAUUUCCAAGAGUCACAUGCAUGAGUGUGAAGGAACCUGCUUAGUUUGUCAUUGUACCCUGACCCCUUAAUGUAGUGUUACAUUUUUGUAACUUACUGCGUUACUUAGUGCUAAGAUUCAGGAUUGCAUUUUCCCAUUGAUGGCUUGGAGAUCAGGAUGUUCGAGAUGGCUACUCACAGAGAUGGUUUGAGGUCUUGGGUUCUUCCACCAAUUAAGAAAGGUAUCAUCUAAAGAGUAAAUAAAAAAGAUGAUCCAUUAUGCACCUCUGUCUAUUUAUUUAGAGAUACGGCGUGAAACAGGCCCUUUCGGCCAAGCAAUCUACGCAGCCCAGCAAUGCAUCCAUUUAACUCUAGCCUAAUCACAGGACCAUUUCCAAUGACCAAUUAAUCUUUUCACCGGCACAGUGGGAGGAAACUGGAGCACCUGGAGAAAACCCAUAUCGUACAAGGAGAACGUACAAACUCCUUACAGAUGGUGCCAGAAUUGAAUUUGAAAUUCCGAUGUCUUACCAACUAUGACACUAUUGUGGCACCCACUUUUUCUGAAGCAACAUCCCAAAUUGUUGUUAUUAAGAACAGCAA
This is a long non-coding RNA of Mobula hypostoma (lesser devil ray), 4851 nucleotides long. RefSeq lists it as uncharacterized. Lineage: Eukaryota; Metazoa; Chordata; Chondrichthyes; Myliobatiformes; Myliobatidae. The record is from RefSeq and is a predicted model, not a curated record. The transcript has 4 exons.